GAAGGGACCUAGCGUAGUUCGGAAUUACUGGGCUUAAAGAGUUCGUAGGUGGUUGAAAAAGUUGGUGGUGAAAUCCCAGAGCUUAACUCUGGAACUGCCAUCAAAACUUUUCAGCUAGAGUAUGAUAGAGGAAAGCAGAAUUUCUAGUGUAGAGGUGAAAUUCGUAGAUAUUAGAAAGAAUACCAAUUGCGAAGGCAGCUUUCUGGAUCAUUACUGACACUGAGGAACGAAAGCAUGGGUAGCGAAGAGGAUUAGAUACCCUCGUAGUCCAUGCCGUAAACGAUGUGUGUUAGACGUUGGAAAUUUAUUUUCAGUGUCGCAGCGAAAGCGAUAAACACACCGCCUGGGGAGUACGACCGCAAGGUUAAAACUCAAAUGAAUUGACGGGGACCCGCACAAGUAGUGGAGCAUGUGGUUUAAUUCGAAGAUACGCGCAGAACCUUACCAACACUUGACAUGUUCGUCGCGACUCUAAGAGAUUAGAGUUUUCGGUUCGGCCGGACGAAACACAGGUGCUGCAUGGCUGUCGUCAGCUCGUGUCGUGAGAUGUUGGGUUAAGUCCCGCAACGAGCGCAACCCUCACUUUUAGUUGCCAUCAUUAAGUUGGGCACUCUGAAAGAACUGCCAGUGAUAAGCUGGAGGAAGGUGGGGAUGACGUCAAGUCCUCAUGGCCCUUACGUGUUGGGCUACACACGUGCUACAAUGGUAUCUACAACAGGAAGCAAGACUGCGAAGUUAAGCAAAUCCCUAAAAGAUACCUCAGUUCGGAUUGCACUCUGCAACUCGAGUGCAUGAAGCUGGAAUUACUAGUAAUCGUGGAUCAGCGUGCCGCGGUGAAUGCGUUCCCGGGUCUU
This 854-nucleotide ribosomal RNA is filed under the name uncultured organism. RNAcentral describes it as "bacterial SSU rRNA". It matches the Rfam family "Bacterial small subunit ribosomal RNA", at positions 527 to 1382 of the family's 1533-position model. The record is from RNAcentral.